Oryzias latipes (Japanese medaka) is the source of this 1075-nucleotide non-coding RNA. The record is from RefSeq and is a predicted model, not a curated record. Lineage: Eukaryota; Metazoa; Chordata; Actinopteri; Beloniformes; Adrianichthyidae.
UAAACAACAACAGAUGGAGAAAAGGCUUAUCUCGGACAGCUGCAAACCGCCGGUGCUUUUCGCCCGAUUCGGACCUUCCUCUCCUUCCGCCUUACCGAAACUCAGGUGGAGUCAGGUUUGAGGUGGGAACAGGCAGGUGGAGGCUUUGCCAUGAUCCAGUCAAAUCUAAAAACAGCAGCAUCAUAACAAACUCCACCCUGAAACCUUCCUGAGUAUGACUCUGUCUGAUCGUCUUCUCUUUCAGUUUCCUUCUGCUGUCACUUUCCGUUCAGAACACGCUCACAAAGAGUAUAAAGAAUACAUCCCUUUGAUUGCACGUUCCCCUUUGCUAAAAAAACAACAGGUUUUGUGGGUCAAACAGAACUCAAAUGAAGACAGUGCACUGCUUGUUGCAUGACACAUUUAUUUAGCAUCAGCAGAUGUCAGCAGAGUGCAUCUUUUUUCUCUCCGGAUCUGAGUUCAGGUUUCACUUUGAAACACUGAUAUGACUCUGAAAUCUGAAAGACAAGUUUGUAAAUAUACUUCCCGUUAGCUCUGUCAGCCACCAUGCCUCAUGUUCACCAAUAUUCAGAGAAUCUCACAUUCAAUCCAGUUCUGUACUCCACUAAACCUCAUCUUCACGACUGCUGAGAGAUUGGGACAAAUUUGUAGAUUAACUUUCCAUCAAGUAAAAUUCAGCAUUGUCUUUGAACAACAUGGUCCUGUGAUGGACUGGCGACUUGUACCUCCAUCUCCGCGCUGAAGAAGCUGGGACAACCUCCAACGAGCCCCGUGAACCUAUGGAGAACAAAGCAGGAAGAGAAAAUGGACAGAACCAGCAAACCGUUUAACUUUAAGCAUGAAAUGAGUGAUUGAAUCCUCUAGUUCCAACGUGAUUUCUAAAAUGAUAUUUUUUCAGGACAGGACUCAAAGUUCAGGAAAAAAAGGUUGAGUCUGUUGUCUUUAUCUUCUUUCACACAUUCAUGCAGGGGUCUGUGUGUAUUUUAAAAGACAAGGUUCACUUGUGCAACUCUUUAACAAAUAUUUAUGUAAGUUGAAACUGUUUUUGAUUCAGUAAAAAGCCAAUCAUCUGUCA